Helianthus annuus (common sunflower) is the source of this 1720-nucleotide long non-coding RNA. RefSeq lists it as uncharacterized. The transcript has 7 exons. NCBI's taxonomy places the organism in Eukaryota, Viridiplantae, Streptophyta, Magnoliopsida, Asterales, Asteraceae. The record is from RefSeq and is a predicted model, not a curated record.
UAUUCAAUCAGCUAAGGAAUGAAAUCUCAUUCAUAAAGAAACCCUUAAGUUUUUGAGGGUUUUAUUCAUCAGCGGGAAUUCUCAAAAGCAGAGGGCGGGAAUUAGCAAAAUAUUAGGGCUCACGAAUCACGAACUCGCGGAAGAAUCGGGAUGUCAUUCCAUUUAAACCCUCAAUUGAAAUUUCAUAAUGAAUAUCGACGAUUCUGUUGCCGGCGAGUUCUUAACUGCUGCGAUUGUGAAGCAUCACCCACAAAUCACCUUCUAUAUUAUACUAUUGUAUUACCUGGAUUCGCAAAACCAGCACAAUGUAGAUGUUUGUGUUAGUCUUGAUGGUCCUUACAAGAACAAGGUCUGAAGAUGAUUCUCAAGUACUUACAACUCAAUCAACUGCCGAGGGAAGUGCAUCUACUAGAAUAUCGCACCCGAACAGUAGACACAAGCUUAAUUCGACCAACACCAGAGCUACCGAACAACCAGUUGAUACAGAACAACAAUUUGUUGAUCCCCCAAAGAGGCGCGGUCCGAAUUUAAAUCUUAGCGUCAAUAGGACUCUACAGGAUUUUCCUGAGGGUUCUAAAAUCCCUUUGAGAAUGGAUAAGCAUACAAUAUGCUUUGUUGGGACCUUAGCAACAGACUUUGCGACCGAGUGGAAUCAUUAUGCGCAGUUUUUGUCUGAUGAACUAUCACACAUGGGAAUCGGUACCGGAAGAUACGAAAACCUUGAUGUAUGAGAAAUUAGAAGGAAAAUUCGAGUUGUUGCGAACAAAUACCAUUUUUAUGGAGUAUGUGCAUGCUCGACUACAUGCCCAGUGGAAACACACCCGAGGUAAAUGGAGUGAACAUUGGAAGAAGAAUGGAAGGAAAACCAAUCCACCGCUAGCAAGAUCUAAAAGGAAAUCUGAUUGCCUGAUUCAAGAAUGGAAUCAUUUGUGCGACUAUUGGGAGUUAGAAAAAACUAAGAAAUAUAGUGAUAAGAUGGAAGCUAAUAGAGCAAAACAAGUUAAUAUAAGCAGAGGGGGGCUCUCGGUCGAUAGCCAAUCAUACAUUUCAAAAGAUAAAUUCCGAGACUCAGAUGCCGCCUAGCCCGUUAGAAGUUUAUCACAAGCUGCAUUUCAAUGCCACGAAACAAGGAUGGCUAAAUGAAAAUUCACGUAUUGAAUAUGAAAACAUCAUUGAACAUAAGUAGGCAGCCUUGGAUGAAUUAAAUUCUAGAAGAAUAACAAUUACCACUACGAUGGAGCAUCAACUUGAGAAAGAAGCCAUAAAAAGUGUUUGUGGUAGGAAGAAAACAAUACAAUCAGCAUGGGAGGUUGGUGUUGCGCCCGUGUUGAGGAAAAAAAGAUAGUUGGAUGAAAUCGGUAGCUGAAUCAUCUCAACGAGACUCAAGUGAGAACGAAAGUCUGAGAAAUAAGGUUAUUGCACUCGAGGCGAAACAGAAACGAGAUAAGGAGAAAUAUGAAAGAAUGUUUGAGUUCAUUGGCACAAAGUUUCCAGACUUUGAAAGCACAAUACCCAUAGAUGCGAGUGAUGAAGUUGUUAGUGAUAAUACAAUUUAGGUAGUUAGUUAUGAUGUUUAUUAUCUUUUUUUAUCUAGUACUCUUUUAAACUUUAGAACCGAUUAUUUGGUGUUAUUUUGCUUAGUUAUUGUUAUGAUAUUAGUGCUUGAAUGUAUUAGGAUUUUGGGAGGCAAAAGGCAAAUUUAUGAAUUAUAUUAUUGUAA